Molecule: long non-coding RNA, 1171 nt
Organism: Dromiciops gliroides (monito del monte)
Lineage: Eukaryota; Metazoa; Chordata; Mammalia; Microbiotheria; Microbiotheriidae
Exons: 3
Source: RefSeq, a predicted model, not a curated record
GGAGGGGGAAGGGGGAUUAAAAAGAGGAAGAGGUUGAAGGAAAAGGGGCUGGGGCAGGGGAACCCAGGCUUAGGGGUGAGUAAGAUAUUUUGUUCAUUUCCAUAAGAAAGCUGAAAUCACAGUUGGAAGCAGGAUUUCUUGCCCCAACAGCCCCCUUUUCUGCAAGAAGCAGGCUCGCGAGCUCAGAGCCCUAAGUGUGUACUCUUGUCCUUUUGAUUGUGUAGAUAAAAUGUGGUUUCAUAUUUUGCUCAAAAUGAGACCGGUUUCCUGUCUGUGUAUCGAGUGGAAGAACACCGCAAGGACUAGCUGCCCCAUCCUCAGAAUGUAAGCCCAACAAGAUAGCUUCAUUCUGUUAAAACAAAAACAAAAACAGGACCAAAGACAACUACAAAAAACCUGGUGACCUGCUGCAAAUGCACAAGAUCAGCACAAGCAUGCUUGGGAGAAGUAGCCACACAGGACGCGAAAGAGUCUCAGCAGGGCAAGAAAGUACCAGGGCUGGUUAGGACAGAGCCAGGGAUCCCUGGAGCAUGCAGUCUUUGGCAUCACUGCCCCCGAAGGCAUAUUCCUGCCUGUGACCCAAAACAAGCCCAAAACAGCUACCUAACUGAAGUCAACUCCAGUCGCUUCUCUCAGUACUACCACUACCCCCAGCCCGCCUGACAACAAAAAACCCAACAAGCCUCUGCUUGAACUAGCUUGGAAGCCAAGCCAAUCGAACACCAGAGUCACCAACCCACAUCAUGAGGUCAGUUUGGAAACAGCAGGGACCAGACCCUCUCCCAACUCAGUCUCACCAAAAUGGAUAGAUUCUUAAAAGCCCAACAGACUCCAGAGUGCCAUUUAAAACCUAGGCACGUUUUCGGAGCCCAAGGGAACAAUUGACUGGAUUCAGUGUCUCAGGAAUUGGGUACACGCCUGUAAGGUGUGUGAUCCUUUAAAGAUCCAUGUUAGUAGUUUUGCAUGAAGGCUUUGUUACAGCUUUGUCAGCUUGCUGGCAUUCAGCAACCUUACUCCCACCCCCACCCCCACCCACCUUUUUCCUCUUCUCCCCUCAAAUGCCUAUUCUAGUCUUGGCUGAGUCGUUUUGAAUCUCCUCCUGAAAUACAUUGCAUAGGAAAGUUGUACACUGACUAUGCCCCGUGGUCUCUCUUUGCUUGUUGCAAAUAAA